Long non-coding RNA from Corapipo altera (White-ruffed manakin), 355 nucleotides. RefSeq lists it as uncharacterized. The transcript has 3 exons. The record is from RefSeq and is a predicted model, not a curated record. Lineage: Eukaryota; Metazoa; Chordata; Aves; Passeriformes; Pipridae.
UCACAUAUGCAGAGUUCUACCCUAUGUGUGCUUUGAGGUGAAGGAACAUCCUCGUAGCUCACAGAGGAAAUCACAAAUCCAUGGCAUCUGCAUUAAGGGAUGGUGAUUCCACCUGCUCCAGUGCCUGACCAACCUUUCCAGGGAGAGAUUUUUCCUGAUAUCCAACCUAAACUUCUUCUGGAGCAACCUGAGAAACAACUGGAAGAACACUGGAUCAAACCUCUCCGUGAAGACAUGUGGAUAUAUCUGAUGCAGGCAGAAGAACAAGGGGCUGUGAGGGAUUGUCAUUCAGAUCUGGAGUGUCACCAGUCUGAGAGAGAGGAGCCCAACGGGGUGAAAACAAACGUUCAGCUGC